GCUUGUCUCAAAGAUUAAGCCAUGCAUGUAUAAGUAUAAACGCUUUUAGCGUGAAACCGCGAACGGCUCAUUACAACAGCUGUAAUUUACUUGACCUUGACAACUUACUUGGAUAACUGUGGUAAUUCUAGAGCUAAUACAUGCACCAAAGCUCCAACCCGCAAGGGAAGAGCGCAUUUAUUAGAACAAAACCAAGCGGCUUCGGCCGUCCAUUGUUGACUCAGAAUAACUUAGCUGAUCGCAUGGUCUUGUACCGGCGACGUGUCUUUCAAGUAUCUGCCUUAUCAACUUUCGAUGGUAGUGUAUGUGACUACCAUGGUGGUGACGGGUAACGGAGGAUAAGGGUUCGACUCCGGAGAAGGGGCCUGAGAAAUGGCCACUACGUCUAAGGAUGGCAGCAGGCGCGCAAAUUACCCACUCUCAGAACGAGGAGGUAGUGACGAGAAAUAACGAGACCGUUCUCUUCAGAGGCCGGUCAUCGGAAUGGGUACAAUUUAAACCCUUUAACGAGUAUCUAUGAGAGGGCAAGUCUGGUGCCAGCAGCCGCGGUAAUUCCAGCUCUCAAAAUGCAUAGAAUUAUUGCUGCGGUUAAAAAGCUCGUAGUUGGAUCUGUGCUGGUGUGGCGGUCCACCUUCGGGUGCGCACUGUUCACACUGGCUUUCCUGUAGUGUUCGGCUCCGUGCCCUUUAUUGGGUGCGGAUGUUCGGUGCUACAAGUUUACCUUGAGCAAAUCAGAGUGCUCCAAACAGGCGUUUCGCUUGAAUGUUCGUGCAUGGAAUAAUAGAAGAGGAUUUCGGUUCUAUUUUAUUGGUUUUAUAGACUGAGAUAAUGGUUAACAGAGACAAACGGGGGCAUUAGUAUUGCCUUGUGAGAGGUGAAAUUCUUGGACC
Molecule: ribosomal RNA, 890 nt
Filed under: Zygotylenchus gansuensis
Lineage: Eukaryota; Metazoa; Nematoda; Chromadorea; Rhabditida; Pratylenchidae
Description: bacterial SSU rRNA
Rfam family: Eukaryotic small subunit ribosomal RNA
Source: RNAcentral